GCCAGCGUGGCGUAAUGGUUUGAGUGCUGAACUACGACUACGGAGACCAGGGUUCGAAUCCCCCGCUCGGCCG
This is a non-coding RNA of Phrynosoma platyrhinos (Desert horned lizard), 73 nucleotides long. NCBI's taxonomy places the organism in Eukaryota, Metazoa, Chordata, Lepidosauria, Squamata, Phrynosomatidae. The record is from the annotation of a GenBank genome assembly.